Molecule: long non-coding RNA, 1132 nt
Filed under: Olea europaea (common olive)
Lineage: Eukaryota; Viridiplantae; Streptophyta; Magnoliopsida; Lamiales; Oleaceae
Description: long non-coding RNA (OEUR_LNC006081)
Source: RNAcentral
AAAAAAGGAAAAUAUAUUACAUCUCCAAAGUUUAAAGUACAUAGUUCUGUUGCAUGCUAAAAACCUCUUCUCCUCUGCAUCUACUGGAUUGGAGGAGAUAACAAUAAAACCAACAACCUAACAUUGACUCUGCUAAAGCUAACACUGCUAACACAAACAAAAGAUUCGAUAUAACUAAACACAAAUGCACCGCCAAUCAAGCCGGCCCCUUGCCCUUGGUGUUCCACUCAGUGUUUGAAUUUCCCGUUCGGAUCGUCACAUUCACAAAAAUGUGGAGUUCUUGUUCAUCGUUUAGCCGAACUUGCGACUGAAACAUGCGGGACAUAUCAUCAACUGAAUCUAUCGGAUCCGGUUUCGGAAACAUAACACCAACGUCCUUGGCUUUGCCGCUUGAUUCCCCUUCUUUGCACCACUCCCAGAAACCACAUUUAAGACUGCAACAUUUGAAGAAUUUGCCUUUGUUGGCUGUAGCCCGUUCUACCUCAAACCACUUCUGAAAACCUUGGUUACACGUUGGACAUCGGACUUUUAUCGGGCAUUAGACAAAAAAGUGGGCUUUACUCCUACAGCUGUGACAUACUCCGGAGUUCUUUCUUGGCAUUCUACAAUGGGAAUCAAGCACCAAAAAGAUAAAGUUAUACGAUACAUAAAGUUUUUCUUUACAUUAAUCAACUCUCAGCAUUACAUGUUCGAGCAUUUAUACACUUUUGAACAUGAAUGAAGUCGCAGCUAUGCCGCAUUUCGAGCCCAGAAACCAGUUUGGACAAAACUACAAACUUUAUGCACUUUGGAACAUGAAUGAAGUCUCAGCUAUAGAUAUUUUGGGAUACAAUAAUAAUAUCAACAAUCCACGACAUUCACUUAUCACACUAACAACAAAAUUUCUACAAUAGCAGGAACAAUUCUUCAAGAACCACUUGUAUAAAAAAAACAUAGUUUCGAAAGGAAGCCUGAACGCCAAACUCAUCGAAAACAGGAAAAUUUCCCAAAUGUUUAACUGACCCAGAUAAUCUUCAACAAGAACAAUAGCAAAAUUCGUGUUGAAUGCUAGUGUGUAGUACAUCAAACGGCACCAUAAAGUUGUUCAAAAAACGUACCUUCCUGUAAAGCCCCUUUCCUUAAUAUUUUCGUC